AUUGAACGCUGGCGGAAUGCUUUACACAUGCAAGUCGAACGGCAGCACGGACUUCGGUCUGGUGGCGAGUGGCGAACGGGUGAGUAAUGUAUCGGAACGUGCCCAGUCGUGGGGGAUAACGUAGUGAAAAUUACGCUAAUACCGCAUACGAUCUAUGGAUGAAAGCGAGGGAUCGCAAGACCUCGCGCGAUUGGAGCGGCCGAUAUCAGAUUAGGUAGUUGGUGGGGUAAAGGCCCACCAAGCCAACGAUCUAUAGCUGGUCUGAGAGGACGACCAGCCACACUGGAACUGAGACACGGUCCAGACUCCUACGGGAGGCAGCAGUGGGGAAUUUUGGACAAUGGGCGAAAGCCUGAUCCAGCCAUUCCGCGUGCAGGAUGAAGGCCCCCGGGUUGUAAACUGCUUUUGUACAGAACGAAAAGGUUUCUACUAAUACUAGGAGCUCAUGACGGUACCGUAAGAAUAAGCACCGGCUAACUACGUGCCAGCCGCCGCAGUAA
This 500-nucleotide ribosomal RNA is filed under the name uncultured bacterium. RNAcentral's name for it is "partial 16S ribosomal RNA". It matches the Rfam family "Bacterial small subunit ribosomal RNA", at positions 30 to 523 of the family's 1533-position model. The record is from RNAcentral.